GGCGACGGCGUUCUCGCCGGAUGUAGGAACCGACCCGGGGACCGCCGGGGCAACCCGGCGCCCCCGAGACGGGGCGAACCACGGUGAAAAUGACGGAUCGUCGGCCCCGCGCCGGCGACUCGCCGAAUGAGUUUCUGACCUAUCAACUCGAGACGGCGGGGUAGAGGCCCGCCGCGGUAACGACGGGUAACGGGGAAUCAGGGUUCGAUUCCGGAGAGGGAGCCCGAGAAACGGCUACCACUUCCAAGGAAGGCAGCAGGCGCGCAACUUACCCUAAUCUCGAUUCGAGGAGGUAGUGACAAGAAAUACCGAUGCGGGACCCUACGGGUGCCGCGUUCGGAAUGAGUACGAUUCGAACCACCUAACGAGGAACGAUCGGAGGGCAAGUCUGGUGCCAGCAGCC
Molecule: ribosomal RNA, 403 nt
Filed under: uncultured eukaryote
Lineage: Eukaryota
Description: bacterial SSU rRNA
Rfam family: Eukaryotic small subunit ribosomal RNA
Source: RNAcentral